GUUAGGAAUAUUGGACAAUGGGCGCAAGCCUGAUCCAGCCAUGCCGCGUGAGUGAUGAAGGCCUUCGGGUUGUAAAGCUCUUUAGCCGAUGAUUAUAAUGACUGUAGUCGGAAAAUAAGCCCCGGCUAACUUCGUGCCAGCAGCCGCGGUAAUACGAAGGGGGCGAGCGUUAUUCGGAAUCACUGGGCGUAAAGCGUGCGUAGGCGGCUUUGCAAGUUGGGAGUGAAAGCCCAGGGCACAACCCUGGAAGUGCUCUCAAAACUGCAAGGCUCGAAUUCGGGAGAGGAUAGCGGAAUUGUCAGUGUAGCAGUGAAAUGCGUAGAUAUUGACAGGAACACCAGUGGCGUAAGCGGCUAUCUGGACCGAUAUUGACGCUGAGGCACGAAAGCGUGGGGAUCAAACAGGAUUAGAAACCCGGGUAGUCC
Molecule: ribosomal RNA, 425 nt
Filed under: uncultured bacterium
Lineage: Bacteria
Description: partial 16S ribosomal RNA
Rfam family: Bacterial small subunit ribosomal RNA
Source: RNAcentral